UUUAGUCCAUCACUAUCAGGAAGGUCAUCAUCAAGGACACAAUGGAAAUUUAUUUGAUGAUGCCGCUAGUGUUUUGGACAACUUCUUCGGAACAGGAUAAGCUUCAUAGCCAUCCUUAAGAGAAAUUGUAGACAAUAGCAAAUCUGAGUAUGAUUGAUCAAAUUACAUAUUGAAACAAUUAUGUAUCGCUAUUUAUUUUAAGCAACCGACUGUAAUUUGCUAAACCUAAUUCCUAUAAUUUUUUCAUGCAUGCUAUUAGAUGCUUCCACAAUGUAAAAAUUUCAGAAAAUAAAUAGAAUAUUGAAAAAAAA
Argiope bruennichi is the source of this 311-nucleotide long non-coding RNA. RefSeq lists it as uncharacterized. Lineage: Eukaryota; Metazoa; Arthropoda; Arachnida; Araneae; Araneidae. The record is from RefSeq and is a predicted model, not a curated record. The transcript has 3 exons.